GCGAGUGGCGAACGGGUGAGUAAUAUAUUGGAACGUACCGGGUAAUGGGGGAUAACCAAUCGAAAGAUUGGCUAAUACCGCAUACGCUCUGAGGAGGAAAGCAGGGGACCUUCGGGCCUUGCGUUAUUCGAGCGGCCAAUAUCUGAUUAGCUAGUUGGUGGGGUAAAGGCCUACCAAGGCGACGAUCAGUAGCGGGUCUGAGAGGAUGAUCCGCCACACUGGGACUGAGACACGGCCCAGACUCCUACGGGAGGCAGCAGUGGGGAAUUUUGGACAAUGGGCGCAAGCCUGAUCCAGCCAUGCCGCGUGUCUGAAGAAGGCCUUCGGGUUGUAAAGGACUUUUGUUAGGGAAGAAAAAGGAGCGGUUAAUACCCGUUUCUGCUGACGGUACCUAAAGAAUAAGCACCGGCUAACUACGUGCCAGCAGCCGCGGUAAUACCGUAGGGUGCGAGCGUUAAUCGGAAUUACUGGGGCGUAAAAGCGAGCGCCGACCGUUACUUAAGCAGGAUGUGAAAUCCCCCGGCUUAACCUGGGAACUGCGUUC
This 544-nucleotide ribosomal RNA is filed under the name uncultured bacterium. RNAcentral's name for it is "bacterial SSU rRNA". It matches the Rfam family "Bacterial small subunit ribosomal RNA", at positions 91 to 628 of the family's 1533-position model. The record is from RNAcentral.